UACGGGGGGGCAAGCGUUGUUCGGAAUUACUGGGCGUAAAGGGUUCGUAGGUGGCUGGCUAAGUCAGACGUGAAAUCCCUCAGCUUAACUGGGGAACUGCGUCUGAGACUGGCGAGCUUGAGUGCAGGAGAGGAACGCGGAAUUCCAGGUGUAGCGGUGAAAUGCGUAGAUAUCUGGAGGAACACCGGUGGCGAAGGCGGCGUUCUGGACUGUAACUGACACUGAGGAACGAAAGCCAGGGUAGCAAACGGG
This 252-nucleotide ribosomal RNA is filed under the name uncultured bacterium. Its description in RNAcentral is "partial 16S ribosomal RNA". It matches the Rfam family "Bacterial small subunit ribosomal RNA", at positions 524 to 776 of the family's 1533-position model. The record is from RNAcentral.